UAGGUGGGCUCAUGAGUUGUUCUGAGGAUUAAGUGAGAUGACAAUAUAAGAUAUCUGGCACCUAAGAAGUGCUCAGAAGAUAUUACUGUCACUGCUCCUACUUCUGACAAGUGAUCUUUUAAUUACUUACUGUGCCUAAAAGAAUUGCUGCUUCUGGGCCGGGCGUGGUGGCUCACGCCUGUAAUCCCAGCACUUUGGGAGGCCGAGGCAGGCAGAUCACAAGGUCAGGAGAUCGAGACCAUCCUCGCUAACACAGUGAAACCCCGUCUCUACUAAAAAUACAAAAAAUUAGCCAGGAGUGGUGGCGGGCGCCUGUAGUCCCAGCUACUCGGGAGGCUCAAGUAGGAGAAUGGUGUGAACCCGGGAGGCAGAGCUUGCAGUGAGCUGAUAUUGCGCCACUGCACUCCAGCCUAGGCGACAGAGCGAGACUCCACCUCAAAAAAAAGAAAAAAAGAAAAAAAAAGAAUUGCUGCUUCUAAAUUUCUUCCAACCUGCAGCAGAUGAGAUCUGUGGAACAUCAGACAUCUGAAUGACAUGUGAAAAUGUCAUCAAUCAUCGCUUCAGCUCUCAAAGGUGAAUUUUAUUCUAAAACUAUUUGAUUCUUAUUAACAUAUACUCAUGUGUAGAAAAUUUUUAUGUCCCUUAAUUUCAGGACAUCUACCUUAAACACAAAUUUAAAAUGUGGGAAUAUUAGUAAUCAUGUUCCAUUUGUUAAGCUUUUAUGCCCAAGGCAAUGUACCAGAGAUUCCCAAAAAGUAGAUACUUUGAUUGGGGUAAAUAAUUCGAGAAAACUAUUGUCAUAAGCUCCCCAAUAGCCCUGGGAAUAUAUAUGUAAAUAUUUUGAGAAAACUAUCAUCAUAAGCUCCCCAAUAGCCCUGGGAUAUAUGUGACUGGAAGAGUUAAUGAUGAAGGAAAUGGAUAAUCCUAUGGCAGCUUAAGAACUCAAGCAGCUGUGAUUAAUAGAGCUUGUAUACAGCAGGUGUCAAUCAGUCUCUUUAGAGAACAUCUUCAAUUUACCAAAAUAUGUAGAAAUAAAAUUUUCUAGUUAAUUUCUAAUAAAUUUCCUUGUUUAAUUGAGAGUCAACAAGAAAAACCUUAUUUUUUGUUUUACCUUUAUUGUUCAAAGUCUCCCUAAAAUGUGAAUAAGUGGGAUUUCUAAACAGUAUUGUAGACUUGGUCUCCUAAGAACACUUUUUUCUAAGAGGAGAACGGCAGCACAGCAUAGUAGCAAGACACCUAGACUAAAUGUCACCAGGCCUGAAGUUUACCCUUAGAAUUUUCCAUAGUUGAGUCACACGUCUUUGGGUAUAUCACUUGGCUCUAUGAACCUCGGUU
RNAcentral lists this long non-coding RNA (1335 nucleotides) under Macaca fascicularis (crab-eating macaque). Its description in RNAcentral is "lncRNA (ENSMFAG00000055373.1)". The record is from RNAcentral. Lineage: Eukaryota; Metazoa; Chordata; Mammalia; Primates; Cercopithecidae.